RNAcentral lists this transfer RNA (76 nucleotides) under Aridibacter sp. RNAcentral's name for it is "tRNA-Glu". It matches the Rfam family "tRNA". From Rfam's summary of the family: Transfer RNA (tRNA) molecules are approximately 80 nucleotides in length. The record is from RNAcentral. Lineage: Bacteria; Pseudomonadati; Acidobacteriota; Blastocatellia; Blastocatellales; Blastocatellaceae. RNAcentral also lists the same sequence under 5 other names.
GACCGGUUCGUCUAGGGGUCUAGGACACCGCCCUUUCACGGCGGCAACACGGGUUCAAAUCCCGUACCGGUUACCA